GGGAGAUGAGAAAUGGGCCUAAAAAAACAGAACAGCAGCAACGAUCUGAGGAGGAAAGUUAAUUUACUAAUGCAAGAUAGCACAACAUAAUGCAAUGUAUAAUUGGAACUGUGGCUAAUAAAUCAAAUAAAAUGAGAGAGAGAGUGUCAGAAACUGAAGGCCUUACUCUGAACUGAAGGUGAAACGGCUGAGGAGCACAACCACACACUGCAGGGCAGCAACAGAGGGAGUGAGUCCCAUGACUUGUGGGUCUGAUCUUCUCCUUUGAACACAAAGUCCUCUGGGGCAUGCAGUUCUCUUCUGAGAGCCUGGAAUCCGGAAAGCUGGCGGUCCAUGGAAGUGGGGCAUUAACUCUUUAACUCCCCGUGCGUUACAUGAUGUUAUGACGUGGAAACAAAAAUCAUAAAGCCGUGACGUUCCACCCCUUAUUCCACAUCACUCAUGCUAAAUAUAUACAUAUAUACAAACAAACAGCAAUUAACAUGCAUUACACACACACAUAUCUAUAUACAUAUAUAUAUAUACACGUGGAAUUACUGACUGCACUCCCCCAGCAUCAGAUUCCCUUGUGGUACACAUUGAACAUCCCCAUCUUUCUGCAUCACCCACCAAGUGGACCCAAGUCCCCAAACAAAAACCAUUCCACAGAGAGAUCUGCCCUUCCCGGAGGCUGGAAAGACCCAAGCAAUGUCAGUGGUGGCAUACCACUUGGCUGCUUUCAACUCCAGUUCAUACUGGAGUUCUAACGUCCAGCACAGCAGCACUCGGUGGAGGUGUGACUUCAUUCAGGCCACGGUAAUCUACCAUCAGCCUCCAUUCCCCACUGGCUUUACACACUGGCCAUAUGGGGCUGUUAAAUCAUAGAAUCGCUCAGGUUGGAAAAGACCCACAGGAUCACCCAUUCCAACCGUUCGCCCAUCACCAAUGGUUCCCGCUAAACCAUGUCCCUCAACACAACAUCCAAGCGCUCUUUGAACACCUCCAGGCUCGGCGACUCCACCACCUCUCUGGGCAGCCCAUUGCAGUGCCUGACCACCGCAGGCGGUGUCCACCUCCACCUGCAAAACAGAGGGAGUGGGAGCUGCUGGAGGUGGAAAGCAACACGACCACAUCACGCUGUGCCUCAGUGCACCCACUUAUGAGCAACUCCCAGUGCAGCCACGACACUUCCCAGAGCCCUGCUGGAUGGCUCUGCUCCCCGGUGAGCUGCACCCUCCCCUCCAUCCACUCAUGAGGACGGAGAGACAGAGCUGAGCCCACACACAGCCCAGCUACCCCGGGGAACAGCCAUCCUCACCACUUUCCCUACACACAACGAGAGCCAGACAAACCCACAAACCACCUUUUCCUGGCUUGGAGCUGGAAGGAGAGCAUUCCCAAGGCGCAGAGCAAGCACCACUCUCAGCAGGGGAGCAGCUGAGCCCCACCACGGCCACCUCACUCAGCAGAGCGCCGAUCCCUGCAGUGCCCCCAGGGCUGCCAAAACAGUGGCCGAAACGCAACAAACACCAACGGUGCGCAGCACAGUCAGCAAACACUCCUCUCUUAUUUUCUCCCUGCUUUUGGUUUGCGCUUUUAGAUGUAUUUUUUUUUUUCUCCCCCCCCCUUCUCCCACAAGGAAGCUGCCGCCGUCGGAAGGGAACAGCGGCAUCAUUCCUCAGCGCAUGAAAGCCACGCUGUCCCAGCAGGAGCCGCACUGUGCAGCCCCAACGAGGCCGGCCAAGCCGAGCUCCUCCUCCGGAGCAGCCACAGCACUUUGCUGCGUUGUGCUGAGCUCAGGGCUGGGGGGUUCCUGCACCCUCCCGGCUCUGUUGGUUUGCACAUCAGCCUCAAAGCAGUAGGGGGGCUUUGGGUGUCCUUCUGCACAGGGCAGUGAAUGCGGAUGGUGAUGCACAGCGGGGCAGCGCUGCAGCCCAAAUCCCACGGACACAAUAAUGAGGGAGGUCAGCAAGCGCAGCACGGGGGGGAAAGGGUUUUCCAAAUGGGAUCAGCACUGCUGUGGCACGGGAUGCACACGAGAGCUGCUCUCCGGGAGCAGAACGUCUCACCCGACCUCCUCACCAGGCUCUGCACAGCACCAAUCCAAGCCCAGCAGAACCAUCUGCCAUCUCUUCAGGCUCGCAGACCCCUGCAAGCUUCCUAGCGCAGGUGCAGGCUGACGGGGGGGGGGGGUCAGAAACCCAGCAAUACACCCGCGCUCCUCCCUGCCGUUUACCCGCCCCAGAGCGGUGUGCAGCUGUGGGAUUUCAGCCCUGCAGCCCCAGGGGGGAUCUCGUGCUGCCCGUGCCCACGGACUGCACGUGGCAGCUCCCCCGGGGGCUCCCGCAAACGCUCCUGCGUGCAGAUCGGGUCUGAAACGCUUAACGCUCAGCCCAGACCCCGUCCUCUCCUUGCACACGCGUGUAAAUUCGUGAACAAUUAACACAGCUUUCCUGGGUUUGGAGAAUUUGUCCUUUCUCCCCCCCCCAACAUUGAGUUCUUCACCCGAAAUCCGAAGGAAAACGAACGGAGCGCCCCACGCGGAACUGCGACCGCCUUCUGUCUCUGCUGCCCCCACGUGGCCAAAGCGCGGAACUGCAGCGGGGGACGUUCCGUCUCCGCUCCGCGCCGCCCGUCUCUAUGGUUAAAGGUCAUCCAGGCGCCAACGCGCAUGCGUGCGCAAUCCGGAAGCGGCCGCUCUGCGCAGCCAGCCCUCCAAUCUCUCUUGUGCUCAGUCCUCCAGGCAGUGGCUCCCGAGCGCUCGGAGGCGUAAAAAGGGCAGAAAAUUCUGCGUAGCGCUCCAGGGGUGGCCGAGCACUCCGCCCACGGACCGUCGGUCCGUCUUUUCCCUCUCGCUUUCCGCCACGCGUUCUCCUUCCUUUGCUCCGCUGCUCCCAUUGCCUUCCUGUGCGCUGCGCUCCGUUCACGAGCACCGAAUCCAAAGCGCCAUCCUUUAACGCAACCGCAGUCGUAACCCUAAAAGGAACGUUAAUCGUAAUCCCGAUGGCCCCGAAAUGUCACAGCUCCGACCCCCAAAGACCCUUAAAAACGACCCCCGUAUCGUAUUGCGUUCAACAGGUGGCAGCAAACUCCACCCCAAGAG
This 3082-nucleotide long non-coding RNA is filed under the name Gallus gallus (chicken). RNAcentral describes it as "lncRNA (ENSGALG00010028798.1)". The record is from RNAcentral. Lineage: Eukaryota; Metazoa; Chordata; Aves; Galliformes; Phasianidae.